GCCGGAGGGAAACCGAGUCUUAAUUGGGCGUUAAGUUGCAGGGUAUAGACCCGAAACCCGGUGAUCUAGCCAUGGGCAGGUUGAAGGUUGGGUAACACUAACUGGAGGACCGAACCGACUAAUGUUGAAAAAUUAGCGGAUGACCUGUGGCUGGGGGUGAAAGGCCAAUCAAACCGGGAGAUAGCUGGUUCUCCCCGAAAGCUAUUUAGGUAGCGCCUCGUGAAUUCAUCUCCGGGGGUAGAGCACUGUUUCGGCUAGGGGGCCAUCCCGGCUUACCAACCCGAUGCAAACUGCGAAUACCGGAGAAUGUUAUCACGGGAGACACACGGCGGGUGCUAACGUCCGUCGUGAAGAGGGAAACAACCCAGACCGCCAGCUAAGGUCCCAAAGUCAUGGUUAAGUGGGAAACGAUGUGGGAAGGCCCAGACAGCCAGGAUGUUGGCUUAGAAGCAGCCAUCAUUUAAAGAAAGCGUAAUAGCUCACUGGUCGAGUCGGCCUGCGCGGAAGAUGUAACGGGGCUAAACCAUGCACCGAAGCUGCGGCAGCGAACGUAUCACUUAAAGCGAUUCAGCGGGUUACGAUUGACGGAGCGAAGCGACGUCAAAGCGUAUACAAAGUCGAGUCGGUUUAAGGAUACGUUCGUUGGGUAGGGGAGCGUUCUGUAAGCCUGUGAAGGUGGCCUGUGAGGGUUGCUGGAGGUAUCAGAAGUGCGAAUGCUGACAUAAGUAACGAUAAAGCGGGUGAAAAGCCCGCUCGCCGGAAGACCAAGGGUUCCUGUCCAACGUUAAUCGGGGCAGGGUGAGUCGACCCCUAAGGCGAGGCCGAAAGGCGUAGUCGAUGGGAAACGGGUUAAUAUUCCCGUACUUGGUGUUACUGCGAAGGGGGGACGGAGAAGGCUAUGUUGGCCGGGCGACGGUU
Molecule: ribosomal RNA, 918 nt
Filed under: Salmonella enterica subsp. enterica serovar Bovismorbificans
Lineage: Bacteria; Pseudomonadati; Pseudomonadota; Gammaproteobacteria; Enterobacterales; Enterobacteriaceae
Description: partial 23S ribosomal RNA
Rfam family: Bacterial large subunit ribosomal RNA
Source: RNAcentral